RNAcentral lists this ribosomal RNA (785 nucleotides) under uncultured Bacteroidales bacterium. RNAcentral's name for it is "bacterial SSU rRNA". It matches the Rfam family "Bacterial small subunit ribosomal RNA", at positions 573 to 1363 of the family's 1533-position model. Lineage: Bacteria; Pseudomonadati; Bacteroidota; Bacteroidia; Bacteroidales. The record is from RNAcentral.
AGGUUGACAUAUAAGUCAGCUGUGAAAGUUUACGGCUCAACCGUGAAAUUGCAGUUGAUACUGUAUGUCUUGAGUGUACAAGAGGUGGGCGGAAUUCGUGGUGUAGCGGUGAAAUGCUUAGAUAUCACGAAGAACUCCAAUUGCGAAGGCAGCUCACUGGGGUGCAACUGACACUGAGGCUCGAAAGUGUGGGUAUCAAACAGGAUUAGAUACCCUGGUAGUCCACACAGUAAACGAUGAAUACUCGCUGUUUGCGAUAUACAGUAAGCGGCCAAGCGAAAGCAUUAAGUAUUCCACCUGGGGAGUACGCCGGCAACGGUGAAACUCAAAGGAAUUGACGGGGGCCCGCACAAGCGGAGGAACAUGUGGUUUAAUUCGAUGAUACGCGAGGAACCUUACCCGGGCUUGAAUUGCAGAGGAACAUAGUUGAAAGAUUAUGGCCGCAAGGUCUCUGUGAAGGUGCUGCAUGGUUGUCGUCAGCUCGUGCCGUGAGGUGUCGGCUUAAGUGCCAUAACGAGCGCAACCCUUAUCAUUAGUUACUAACAGGUCAUGCUGAGGACUCUAGUGAGACUGCCGUCGUAAGAUGUGAGGAAGGUGGGGAUGACGUCAAAUCAGCACGGCCCUUACGUCCGGGGCUACACACGUGUUACAAUGGGGGGUACAGAGGGCAGCUACCGGGCGACCGGAUGCCGAUCCCAAAAACCUCUCUCAGUUCGGAUCGAAGUCUGCAACCCGACUUCGUGAAGCUGGAUUCGCUAGUAAUCGCGCAUCAGCCACGGCGCGGU